RNAcentral lists this ribosomal RNA (484 nucleotides) under uncultured bacterium. Its description in RNAcentral is "partial 16S ribosomal RNA". It matches the Rfam family "Bacterial small subunit ribosomal RNA", at positions 30 to 507 of the family's 1533-position model. The record is from RNAcentral.
AUUGAACGCUGGCGGCAGGCCUAACACAUGCAAGUCGAGCGGAUGAAGGGAGCUUGCUCCUGGAUUCAGCGGCGGACGGGUGAGUAAUGCCUAGGAAUCUGCCUGGUAGUGGGGGAUAACGUCCGGAAACGGGCGCUAAUACCGCAUACGUCCUGAGGGAGAAAGUGGGGGAUCUUCGGACCUCACGCUAUCAGAUGAGCCUAGGUCGGAUUAGCUAGUUGGUGGGGUAAAGGCCUACCAAGGCGACGAUCCGUAACUGGUCUGAGAGGAUGAUCAGUCACACUGGAACUGAGACACGGUCUAGACUCCUACGGGAGGCAGCAGUGGGGAAUAUUGGACAAUGGGCGAAAGCCUUAUCCAGCCAUGCCGCGUGUGUGAAGAAGGUCUUCGGAUUGUAAAGCACUUUAAGUUGGGAGGAAGGGCAGUAAGUUAAUACCUUGCUGUUUUGACGUUACCAACAGAAUAAGCACCGGCUAACUUCGCG